This 858-nucleotide long non-coding RNA is filed under the name Homo sapiens (human). RNAcentral describes it as "HSALNT0408467". Lineage: Eukaryota; Metazoa; Chordata; Mammalia; Primates; Hominidae. The record is from RNAcentral.
GCCGGGCUGUUUAGCAGCUGGUCUCACUGCUUAGGUUCCUAAAGCCUAGCUGUUACAGCGUCCUUGCUACAGAAAGAGAUCGUUGUCUGACCAGAGACAAAACUUACUUCUGUCUGGUAGCAGAGUACCUACAUUUGGCUUUCCAGAUCUCACCUCAGUUCCAGAUUCCUCUACAUUAAAAUCUUCGCCUGGGUUACAUCUUCUCUCAGGAUUGAAUAUCAACACUAUUGAAGACACCUCAUGUGACAUCACAAACAGCUUUCUUGGACUCUCCAGGGAGGUGGAGCAAGAUGGCUGAAUAGAAGCCUCCAGCAAUUGUCCCCCACUCACAGGAACACCAAAUUGAACAACUAUCCACACACAAAAAAAAGCACCUUCAUACAAAGAAAAAUCAGAUAUGUUCUGAGACAGCUGAUAACAGAAUGAAGGGGGAUUUUCUUAAAGCAUCCAUGACCCUAACAAGGAAACUGGAAGUUGCAUUCUAUUGAUCCAAGGCUAAGAAGGAAUUAAGUUGCCAUCAGAUCAAAUUCCGGCAAAGCGUCUGGAAGAGACCUGGUUGAAGAUAAUAUUGAUGAGUCUUAAAAAAAAAUGCCAGCAUUUCUACUCAUGUUUUAACAAAAAUUGGAGAGUCUAGAUUCACCCAUGAAAAGCUCUUCCUUCUCGGCUUCAAGACAUCCUAUAUAAAGGGGAAAGAAACAAACAAAAAGCUACUUCAAAGUUGAAGGGUCAGUUUCUGGUUUUGCUGUCUCAUCUGGAAAAAAGAAGUGACUUCUGCUAUUGUUUUAUAACUUAUUGAUAUAAAAUGUAUACAACUCAUAAAAUGUAGAAAUAGCUAGAAGUACCAGAUGAAUCUUGUUA